CCCAGCACCCAGUCUGAGCCUCACAGUCAGAGCUGUGCCCCUAGCAAACAGCCUCCUUGUAGCGACACAGCCCAGGGCCCUGAGCAGAAAGCCUGCAGACAAUCUCCAGGCAGAGAGACUCCAAGCAGAGCCCCCCAGAAGGAGCAGCGUCUUUCCCCCGACUUUCCAAGAACAGGCCCCAGAAAACCAAGAGAACUGCACCUGUGGCCUAUGGCUAGGGGUUGAAUUGGAGCUGCAGCUGCCAACCUGUGCCACAGCCAUAGCGACAUAGGAUCCAAGUUGCAUCUGUGACCUACACCACAUCUCAGAGCAACGCAGGAGUGAGGCUAGGGAUUGAACCUAUGUCCUCAUGAAUACCAGUUGGGUUUGUUACUGCUGAGCCUCGACAGGAACUCCACCAGUGCUCUUGUCCUUAAUUAUUCUGAUGCUAGUUAGACUUCCUCUCUUCACUUUUGGUUUAUAGAUGAACUAGUCCAUGGUUAUAUAAUGAUUUUUCAAGCCAGUUGGCCUCAUGGAAUGAAUUCAGUGGAUUGGACCAGGAUAAUUUUCAUGGUAGACUGCAGUAGAAUAUACCAAAGUACCUUGCACAUUGUAAAAGUGAUAAGUUCUGUUAAAGUUAUAUGUCUGUGUACAUGUGUAUGAGUGUACUGGGCCCCAAUGUAAGAUUUAUUUCUUGGUAUGGGUUAUUGUCAACAAAAUUUUAAAAGUUAUUGUUCUAGAACAGUUGAGAAUCAGGAGAGUUCCUCAUUUGUUUGAGGGCAGGAAAUGGUGCCCUGAAUAAGGGACCUUUGGAAAAAGCCAGAUUCAAACAUGCAACCAGGGCCACAGAGAAGCCCAGCAACCGGAUUUUGGGGAGAGCUAGUGAACCUGAUUCAGAUGUAGGAAGAGGAAGCUCCAGUUUCAUGGGCAGACUUUGCCCUUACUGACUUGCCCAAGAGGCCAGAGUACAAAAGAAAAUAGGGAGAUACUUCUAAAAAUCAAGACUGGCCAUUGACUAGGGCUUCUCUAGGGUAGUGUUCCUAGGAAACCCAACAUAAUUGGGCAAAGGACACUUCUAGCCACAUAAAGAAGGGUCACAGCUACUUCAGCUGAUCAGUGAUCAGGCAGCAUAGACCUUGCAGGGUGGGCAUCCCAGCAGGACGCCAGAGAUGGGAACCGUCUUUUUCUCCAUUAUCCUAUUUCGUAGAGGUAGAGUAAGUUAGAACCUGAGGGCUUUUAGAGCACGUCUAGUACAGACUCCUUAAGACAAGUCAGGAACCUGAGGCCCUAAAAGAAGGGCUUGCCUAAGGUCUCUUAACAGGUAACUUUUCUUCUUCCUUCCCCUUCCCUUUCUAUUAUUUAUGCUCUGUGUAGAGCCUAGUGGCUAAGUACAUGAGCUUUAGACCCUACCACUUACCAGCUCUAUAAUCUUGAGCAAGUUACUUUAACCUCUUCAAGCCUCCUUUUCUUUAUUUG
RNAcentral lists this long non-coding RNA (1455 nucleotides) under Sus scrofa (pig). RNAcentral's name for it is "lncRNA (ENSSSCG00035077014.1)". Lineage: Eukaryota; Metazoa; Chordata; Mammalia; Artiodactyla; Suidae. The record is from RNAcentral.